ACGCUCGACACCUACGGGAGCAGCAGUAGGGAAUCUUCCACAAUGGACGCAAGUCUGAUGGAGCAACGCCGCGUGAGUGAAGAAGGUUUUCGGAUCGUAAAGCUCUGUUGUUGGUGAAGAAGGAUAGAGGUAGUAACUGGCCUUUAUUUGACGGUAAUCAACCAGAAAGUCACGGCUAACUACGUGCCAGCAGCCGCGGUAAUCUGAGCGGGCUGGCGAAGGC
Molecule: ribosomal RNA, 223 nt
Filed under: uncultured bacterium
Lineage: Bacteria
Description: partial 16S ribosomal RNA
Rfam family: Bacterial small subunit ribosomal RNA
Source: RNAcentral